Molecule: ribosomal RNA, 253 nt
Filed under: uncultured bacterium
Lineage: Bacteria
Description: partial 16S ribosomal RNA
Rfam family: Bacterial small subunit ribosomal RNA
Source: RNAcentral
UACGAAGGGGGCGAGCGUUGUUCGGAUUUACUGGGCGUAAAGGGCGCGCAGGCGGCUAUCCAAGUCAGGCGUGAAAGCCCCGGGCUUAACCUGGGAGGUGCGUCUGAUACUGGAUGGCUUGAGAUUGGGAGAGGGAUGCGGAAUUCCCGGUGUAGUGGUGAUAUGCGUAGAUAUCGGGAGGAACACCAGUGGCGAAGGCGGCUCUCUGGGCCUUUCCUGACGCUGAGACGCGAAAGCGUGGGGAGCGAACCGG